Molecule: long non-coding RNA, 209 nt
Filed under: Olea europaea (common olive)
Lineage: Eukaryota; Viridiplantae; Streptophyta; Magnoliopsida; Lamiales; Oleaceae
Description: long non-coding RNA (OEUR_LNC003978)
Source: RNAcentral
CAAAAGAACAAUAAAAUUAUAUAGUUUAGAGCCCCGAAUAAGUGUAGAAAAUACACUUAUCAAACCCCCAAACUUGAAUCUUUGUUUGUCCUCAAACAAAACUGAAAUCUAAGUAACAACAAACAUACAAGCAUGCAAAAAUUAUUUGGUUGGACAGUUUAACUUUUUACCACAGCAUUUGAGAUCACCGAAUUAAAUCUAUAAACUGC